GUAGUCAUUGAACAGAAGUUUGAGCGAUCUUUAAUUUAUGGCGCACUCACACCAUACAAACUUAUUGUGCAAUAUUAUCGAUCAUGUGUAGCGAGCCUAAAACGAAUCCGAUCGUGUUCGUCCCCACCAUACCAUCGUAUAACCUCGUUCGGUGUUUAUGACCAUGUGCAUUGACUCGGUGUAUUGGUAGAGUCACUGACAGACUUUGACGAGGCCAACAUGAGAGGACAGAUCACUUUUCUGUCUUUAUAUGGUGACAGUCCAAUAUCUUGAGUGUAUUUGUGGAAAAACCAAUUGAAAUAACCAAACAAUGGUUCGUGUGAUAAAGCAAGAGACUUAUGAUGAUGUUGUGCGCGAAAAUAUCGAGGAUUUCGCGAUGUCAGCUGAGGAAGUGAUCGAGGAUGCAAUCAAACAAUUCGAAGUACAAAUGUGACCAAUAUCAUAAAAGACCUGGCUCUGACCGAUGUCGAAAACGUUACUGUAAUAUGUUUGGAAAUCAAAACAGCUUUGGAAAAUGAUAACUACGAGGACCUCAUUCAAGUGCUCGAAAGGCUUCAAACUGAGCUUGACAAAGAUAUUGCCCGUCGAGUCUACGCAGGCAAAGAAGGAGCGUAUCAAACUCCUAUUCAACUUUUGAAGAAAAGCCUCGACGAUACAGCUCUCCUGGAAGUUACUCUCAAAACUCUCACUUCCUUCAUGACUGGCAAUCCUGAUCUUCUUGACAGUGAUGGCAUUGAAUUGCAAAUGAAGGUGGCAGUACACAUGGCGGAAUUAUUGUGUUGUUAUGGUGAGAUCGAUUAUCGAGUUCGACCUCUCAUAUUCACAAUACGACAUUGGGCUCAACACGUUGGAAUCACGAAUCCCGCACUCGGUCGUUGGAUCACAAAUAUUUCUAUUACUUUCCUCGUACUGUUUUAUCUCCAACUAAAACGUAUUCUACCCUUUUCUAAUGAAUUUGAGCGUCCUCCAAGUUAGUCCAUUCAUUUCAACGUAAGGCACGACGAGUAUGGGUGAUGAUUUGAACCCAGAUGAAUGAUCAAGUAUCGAUGAUGACGUUGAAACGAAUCCUUCCCUUUUUUCUCUGCCACUUACUUAAUUCACAGCUCUUUUACUGUGGGAGAAAAAAUGUGGCAAGAAUAACCAAUUUCUACGAGUGUUACAAGCGCUAAAAAAUGAGAAUUUAAU
Molecule: unclassified non-coding RNA, 1185 nt
Filed under: Venturia canescens
Lineage: Eukaryota; Metazoa; Arthropoda; Insecta; Hymenoptera; Ichneumonidae
Description: speckle targeted PIP5K1A-regulated poly(A) polymerase-like, transcript variant X1
Source: RNAcentral